This 272-nucleotide non-coding RNA is filed under the name Pararhizobium polonicum. Lineage: Bacteria; Pseudomonadati; Pseudomonadota; Alphaproteobacteria; Hyphomicrobiales; Rhizobiaceae. The record is from RNAcentral.
AAUCAUCAAGGAUCAAUUGGUUCCCUGGGAGCGAGGCGCUUUCGGGGAGUAAAUGGGAACGUGACGGAUGGACCCAUUCUGGGCAUCUCAAUCACGGCCGACCCCGCGACUGUAGAGCGGUCAGAGUUUUGUCAUGCCGGUUUUGUUCAACCGGUAAAAGCCACUGUGGCGGCGGGCCUUGCGUCCCUGCCCUGGGAAGGCGAGACAGGCUCCUUGGUGUGAAAGCACCUGACGCCGCGAGCCAGGAAACCUGCCGGUUGAUGAAGGGCAUG